This 57-nucleotide transfer RNA is filed under the name Scinax garbei (Eirunepe snouted treefrog). RNAcentral describes it as "partial tRNA-Ile". Lineage: Eukaryota; Metazoa; Chordata; Amphibia; Anura; Hylidae. The record is from RNAcentral.
GGAAGCGUGCCCGAAAGAUAAGGACCUCCUUGAUAGGGAGAACUAUAGGGGAUCAAA